Molecule: ribosomal RNA, 463 nt
Filed under: uncultured bacterium
Lineage: Bacteria
Description: partial 16S ribosomal RNA
Rfam family: Bacterial small subunit ribosomal RNA
Source: RNAcentral
CUACGGGGUGCAGCAGUGGGGAAUUUUGGACAAUGGGGGCAACCCUGAUCCAGCAAUGCCGCGUGAGUGAAGAAGGCCUUCGGGUUGUAAAGCUCUUUUGUCAGGGAAGAAACAGCAGCUCUAAUACAGUCUGCGAAUGACGGUACCUGAAGAAUAAGCACCGGCUAACUACGUGCCAGCAGCCGCGGUAAUACGUAGGGUGCAAGCGUUAAUCGGAAUUACUGGGCGUAAAGCGUGCGCAGGCGGUUAUGUAAGACAGGCGUGAAAUCCCCGGGCUCAACCUGGGAAUUGCGCUUGUGACUGCAUAGCUAGAGUAUGUCAGAGGGGGGUAGAAUUCCACGUGUAGCAGUGAAAUGCGUAGAGAUGUGGAGGAAUACCAAUGGCGAAGGCAGCCCCCUGGGAUAAUACUGACGCUCAUGCACGAAAGCGUGGGGAGCAAACAGGAUUAGAUACCCUCGUAGUC